Molecule: ribosomal RNA, 253 nt
Filed under: uncultured bacterium
Lineage: Bacteria
Description: partial 16S ribosomal RNA
Rfam family: Bacterial small subunit ribosomal RNA
Source: RNAcentral
GACGGAGGGUGCUAGCGUUGUUCGGAAUCACUGGGCGUAAAGGGCGCGUAGGCGGCCUCAGGUGUCGGAUGUGAAAGCCCGGGGCUCAACCCCGGAGGUGCAUCCGAAACUCUGGGGCUGGAGGUCGGAAGAGGAGGGUGGAAUACCCAGUGUAGAGGUGAAAUUCGUAGAUAUUGGGUGGAACACCGGUGGCGAAAGCGGCUCUCUGGUCCGGACCUGACGCUGAGGCGCGAAAGCGUGUGGAGCAAACAGG